Molecule: ribosomal RNA, 2314 nt
Filed under: Triticum aestivum (bread wheat)
Lineage: Eukaryota; Viridiplantae; Streptophyta; Magnoliopsida; Poales; Poaceae
Description: partial small subunit ribosomal RNA
Source: RNAcentral
GUUUUUUCCUUGGAGAAGAUGGAGAGAUACGGGAAGAGGUUCACACUUCACAGACGGAGACAAGGAAAGGAUUUGAAAAACUUUUCCCCACCACCACACACUUGCCUGGCCCAGAGCCCCAACGGAAUCUGCACCGCCUGCUUAUCCCGCGCCCCCCGCCCGCGCCUGCCUCAAGCGCCAACUCCGAUUUCCAAAUCCCACGCAAAAACCCUCCACCGCAAUCGCUCUCUUUUUUUCCAAACCUCAGAUCCCCCACCGCGCCGCACCGCACCGCCGAAUCGCCGUUUCCCGACGCCUCGAACCGAAGCGCCGCUGCCCUCGCCGCGGGCCCGUCGGUCGCGGCCGGGGGAGCCGGGCCAUGCGGCGGCCCGGCGCUGCGCCGUUCGGAGGAAGUGCAACAAUAGCGCCGAGAAAUGCCUGAGCCCGACCGCAACUCCCUCAGCGCCGGCCGCGGGCUCCACCGCGACGGGCGCAAGGGCUGGCCCGACCUCUGGCUGCUCCCGGGGAAGCCGCCGCACUCGCCCGCCGCGGCCAUGGCCCCGCCGACCCCGCCGCCGGACCGCGCACCCGACCAAACCCUAGCCUUCUCCGACGAGCUCCUCCUCCGCGUCCUCGCUUACCUCCCGGAGCCCCACCUCACGGCCUCCGCCUCGCUCGUCUGCAAGAGGUGGACGCGCCUCUCCGGCCGCCUGCGCCGCCGCCUCGCGGUGCGGGACUGGGCCUUCGUCACGCACCGACUCCCCUACCGCUUCCCCGACCUGGCGGUCCUCGACCUGUUCCCGGCCUCCAUAGCCGCCCCGGCCGCGCCGUCUCGGGCCUCCCCCGUCCUCACCUGCGGCGCGGUCUCGCUAACCCUAGACCUCGCCGCGGACCCGCCGCUCGGCGCUUGCCGGUUCCUCGCCGACGAUGUGCUCGACAGGGGCCUCGCCGUCGUUGCCGCCAGGUUCCCUAACCUCCGGCGCUUAUCGGCCACAGCAGCGUCCGAGUCCGCCGGCCUCAUGGAUAUCGCCGGAGGCUGCGCCACGCUGCAAGAGCUUGAGCUCCACCGGUGUACUGACCUCGCGCUCCGCCCGGUCUCUGCCUUUGCGCACCUCCAGAUCCUCCGCAUUGUUGCCGCCUCCUCGCCGCUGUAUGGCACGAGUGAAGAUGGCGGGGUAACUGACAUCGGCCUCACCAUCCUCGCCCAUGGCUGCAAACGGUUGGUUAAGCUGGAGCUUGUGGGUUGCGAGGGCAGUUAUGAUGGCAUUGCAGCUGUUGGGCGGUGCUGUGCGAUGCUGGAGGAGCUCACCAUUGCUGAGCACAGGAUGGACGGCGGGUGGCUUGCUGCUCUAGCUUUCUGUGGCAACCUCAAGACCCUGCGGCUUCAGGGGUGUGCCAGGAUUGAUGAUGAUCCUGGGCCUGCUGAACAUCUUGGCGCCUGCCUCACGCUCGAGAGCCUGCAAUUGCAUCGGUGCCAGCUACGUGACCGCCACGCCCUCCAUGCUCUCUUUUUGGUCUGUGAGGGUGCUCGCGAGUUGCUGGUCCAGAAUUGUUGGGGCCUUGAAGACGACAUGUUUGCGUUGGCUGGCCUAUGCAGGAGAGUGAAAUUGCUGUCCUUAGAAGGCUGCUCAUUAUUAACAACUCGAGGUGUCGAAUCUGUAGUCACCUCAUGGAAUGAUUUGCAGAGUCUACAAGUUGUCGCGUGCAACAAAAUAAAGGACGAGGAAAUGACUGGUGCACUCUCAGAGCUUUUCUCUAAUCUCAAAGAGCUGAAGUGGAGGCCCGACAACAAAUCUCUCCUGGCGGCAAGCCUAGUGGGCACUGGAAUGGGAAAGAAGGGCAGAGUAUUUUUCAAAAGGGUAUGAAGUCUGAUCAUCUUGGUGUGCUCCGUUCCCUGCGAUGAUGCGCUUCAUCUCUUCUUUGCCCGUAAGGAUUGAGCUUUUCUUGUGGCAGAUUUUACCGGGCCAUCAACGAGUCAAGGGCAAGGUGCUCAACUAUCCAGCGGGUGUUGCUGCUUAGCCUGAUCGCUCUUUUGGUCCAGACAGAAUUUUAGGUGCUGCUGCAAAGUUCGUAUACUUGGAGCUGGUGCAAAUUCUUUGGAUUUGGAUCAAAGUUCUUCAUUUUUGGAAGCUGGCACGCCCAAGGGCAAUUGAGAUACCAACCGCCCAGAUUUGUGUUUUUGGCAGAGUUGUAACAAGCUGACACUACCCCAUGACGAUCCUAACCAACAUUUAUGUACGCCACAGAAAUUUUCUUUUAUAAGUUAUGGCAGAACUUGUUAGUUCCUGAUGAUGAAUCAGACGGAAGCACCAAAAGUGUUCGUGUUUUAUCCCCA